GCCAGUUUGGCUCAGGGGAUAGAGCAUCAGCCUGUGGACUGAAGGGUCCUGGGUUCAAUUCCCAUCAGUGGUA
This 73-nucleotide transfer RNA is filed under the name Myotis davidii. It matches the Rfam family "tRNA". Rfam says of the family: Transfer RNA (tRNA) molecules are approximately 80 nucleotides in length. Their secondary structure includes four short double-helical elements and three loops (D, anti-codon, and T loops). Further hydrogen bonds mediate the characteristic L-shaped molecular structure. tRNAs have two regions of fundamental functional importance: the anti-codon, which is responsible for specific mRNA codon recognition, and the 3' end, to which the tRNAs corresponding amino acid is attached (by aminoacyl-tRNA synthetases). tRNAs cope with the degeneracy of the genetic code in two manners: having more than one tRNA (with a specific anti-codon) for a particular amino acid; and 'wobble' base-pairing, i.e. permitting non-standard base-pairing at the 3rd anti-codon position. The record is from Rfam by way of RNAcentral. Lineage: Eukaryota; Metazoa; Chordata; Mammalia; Chiroptera; Vespertilionidae.